AUGCUCACUUCAGUAGUACAUAUGCUAAAACUGGAGUGAUCCAGAGAAGAAUAGCAUGGCCUCUGUGCAA
Molecule: small nuclear RNA, 70 nt
Organism: Homo sapiens (human)
Lineage: Eukaryota; Metazoa; Chordata; Mammalia; Primates; Hominidae
Source: Ensembl